GCAGCAGGGAAUAUUGUGCAAUGAACGAAAGUUUGACACAGCGACACCGCGUGUGGGAUGACGGAUCUAGGUUUGUAAACCACUUUCAGGAGGGAAGAAAAUGACGGUACCUCCACAAGAAGCCCCGGCCAAYUACGUGCCAGCAGCCGCGGUAAUACGUAGGGGGCGAGCGUUGUCCGGAUUUAUUGGGCGUAAAGAGCUCGUAGGCGGUUCAACAAGUCGGUCGUGAAAGUUCAGGGCUCAACCCUGAAAUGUCGAUCGAUACUGUUGUGACUAGGAUACGGCAGAGGUGAGUGGAAUUCCGAGUGUAGCGGUGAAAUGCGUAGAUAUUCGGAGGAACACCAAUUGCGAAGGCAGCUCACUGGGCCGCUAUCGUCGCUGAGGAGCGAAA
RNAcentral lists this ribosomal RNA (391 nucleotides) under uncultured Actinomycetes bacterium. Its description in RNAcentral is "bacterial SSU rRNA". It matches the Rfam family "Bacterial small subunit ribosomal RNA", at positions 351 to 758 of the family's 1533-position model. The record is from RNAcentral. Lineage: Bacteria; Bacillati; Actinomycetota; Actinomycetes.